RNAcentral lists this ribosomal RNA (1209 nucleotides) under Triticum aestivum (bread wheat). Its description in RNAcentral is "partial small subunit ribosomal RNA". The record is from RNAcentral. Lineage: Eukaryota; Viridiplantae; Streptophyta; Magnoliopsida; Poales; Poaceae.
AUGGAAGAAGGUCAGGAAAGCAGGUACUGGUGCCACAGCUGCGCUGAGGUGAUCGUUCCUGUGGAGCCGGAGAAGAAGUGCCCGGACUGUGAUGGCGGGUUCGUGGAAGAGAUGGAGUCCGAGGGCUUUGAGCCGUCCACGAACGUGAGGUCUGAGCGGAACCUCUCGCUCUGGGCCCCGCUGCUGCUUGGGAUGAUGGGAGGUUCGUCUCGGCGAUCAAGGCCCCAGAGGGAUAUGAUGGAUUCUUCUUCUGAUGAGGACUCACGCCAAGCAAGGAUCAGGAGUGCACUGAGGGAUACUGAUGAUGAGGAUGAAGAGGAUGAUGAUGAUGAUUCUGACCGUGAGCUUGAAGACAUGAUUAGGAGGCGAAGGAGGAGGGGCUCAUCGCUUGUCAGGCUGCUUCAGACCCUCCGUGAUGACUUAAGGGGCUUGGAUGGCAUUGGCAGAGACAGGGACAGGGACAGCGAGAGAGACCGGGAGAGGGAGAGGGAAAGAAGGGACAGGGAGAGAAGGGAGAGGGAGAGGGCUAGAAGAGAGAGGGAGAGAGCAAGGGAGAGAGACCGAGGGGGAGAAAGGACAGAGAGCUUAAUACUGAUCAACUCCAACAAUGAGGCCAUUAUUCUCCAAGGAACAUUUGGACCUAGUGACAACCAAGAGAACUCAAGCAACACAAGUACUGGCGUUUCACUUGGAGACUACUUUCUUGGUCCUGGUCUAGAUAUGCUCUUGCAGCGUUUGGCAGACAGUGACCUGAAUCGUUCUGGGACUCCACCUGCCAAGAAGGAAUCUGUGGCAGCAUUGCCAACUGUGAACAUCCAGGAAGUAUUGGGCUGUACAGUCUGUCUUGAGGAGUUUGAAAUGGGGACGGAGGCGAAGGAGAUGCCUUGCCAACAUAAGUUUCACUCCAAUUGCAUCCUUCCAUGGCUGGAGCUCCACAGUUCUUGCCCAAUUUGUCGAUUUCAGUUGCCUACAGAGGAGUCAAAGAACCCAUGUGAAUCAGGCAGUGGUGGUGGGACAGUGAGUGCUGAUGGAGAUCAUGCUGAGUCAAGUAAUAGUGAUAUAGAAGGUGCUAACCAUGAUGGAGGCAGGCUGCUUGAUGGAAGUUCAAUAAAUGACAGAGAUGUGACGUCUGCGUUGAACGCGAUAUUCGGAGAUGAAUCCUCCUCCUCAUCAUCUGAUGAAAAUGGCCCACGUGCUUCUGAGAGCUGA